UUGUGAGGUUUACCUUGAGAGUAAUUCUUGAACCGAACCAAACAUCCCCAGAGAUUUUCAAGCUAUCAAGCGCAACAAUACUAGGGAUUGAUUUAAAUCGGUCAAGGAAACUGUCAACCUACAGUUUUGUCCAAGAUCAAUCAAGGGGUUUGUUGAAUUAUCUCUAGCUGGGUUACGGGUUACAAACAUGGAAAAGAUUCAAAUAUACCAGGAUGAGGAACAGAUCGGAUGUAUUUUUUACUGCAAGGAACCUUGAGCGAGGAACAGUAACACCAAUGGCCUUUUCAAAGCACUAGAUAGCUGAACCAGCUUCCUUUUCAAGUUGCAAGACUUUCACACCAUCAACUUCCUGUUUGGAAUGAUUUCCAUCUUUAGUGCUUCAGCUUUUACCAGCCUCUUGAUGGCCUUCAAGUUCACCCGCCUAUAUCCAAAAGCUGUUAGCAAGGUCUUUUCUCCUGAACUAGCAGUAUGUAAUUAAGCGCCGGCAACAAAGUUAAGAUUAAAUAAGUAUACCUUAACCCUUCAUAACAUAUGAGAGAACCACCUUUAACAUCAGCCGAUGUUUUUGGAGUAACCUGGCAUAAAUACUUGAGAUGUUGUACUCAUAUUUGGAUACCAAUAUCGACUGUAGCGCCCAAGUUCUCUGAACUCGCUAUGAAGACAUAUUCCUUGCCCUGA
RNAcentral lists this small RNA (678 nucleotides) under Oryza sativa Japonica Group (Japanese rice). RNAcentral describes it as "sRNA Os01g0264125". The record is from RNAcentral. Lineage: Eukaryota; Viridiplantae; Streptophyta; Magnoliopsida; Poales; Poaceae.